Molecule: long non-coding RNA, 365 nt
Organism: Betta splendens (Siamese fighting fish)
Lineage: Eukaryota; Metazoa; Chordata; Actinopteri; Anabantiformes; Osphronemidae
Exons: 3
Source: RefSeq, a predicted model, not a curated record
GUUCCAGGAAGGGACGGCACCGGCACCGGCAGCGCCAGCACGCGCGUCACGACCUUCAAACUGGUGGCGGCCUCAAAGACAAACGGACGCGGUUCCCUUCAGACGUCAGUGCGGUUAAAAACAUAAGAGAUCCUCUGCAACAGCCAGGGAUGAAGCCAGUGUUAGUGAUGGAACGCCACAGAAAGUACAUGAUGCCAUCAGAUGUGGCGGAGACGAAUCCAGAAUCAAGCAAUCGUUGAUCCAACAGCCUCCUGUACGUGGCGAUCUCCAUCUCCAGGUUCUGUUUGAUGCGCAGCAGCUGCUCGUAGUCGGUUUUGUUGCGCUGCAUGUCCAGACGCAGCUGAGACAGCUCAUCCUCCAGCUGG